Bolinopsis microptera is the source of this 573-nucleotide long non-coding RNA. RefSeq lists it as uncharacterized. Lineage: Eukaryota; Metazoa; Ctenophora; Tentaculata; Lobata; Bolinopsidae. The record is from RefSeq and is a predicted model, not a curated record. The transcript has 3 exons.
CCUUUCUCCCCCCACAUAGUUACACUGAUAGUACUCUUCACGCAGGGUGUAGUAUAUCGUACAACAUGGUGGUCCUGAACAGUUCCAUACUCUACAAUAAACAGCACUGUAAAUCCUGCACGUGCAACAGAGGACACCUUCGCUGCAGCAGACUUCAUCCAAAACAAUGUGCUGGGUCCCUAGUUUCUGGCUGCUACACCGGAAGUAAUUAUCUAACACCUGGGAGUAGAGUGAUGCGCGGCUGUAGAACUUGCACGUGCAAACAAGACAAUACUCUCAAGUGCACAGUGGAUAAUAAGUGCGUGAGUCGUCACGCGUGAGAAUAUAGGAGGUUGUGGAACAGUGGGUGAUGUUGAUUUUUCGGAAACAGACAAUUUAUUUUAGUAGCUUCCUCCUUUUUGCUAACUUUUCUGUCGAUUUACUCAUUGAAAUGUAAUGAUGGUCCGUGAUGAUGUGGUUGAUACAAAUAUUAUUGCCGAAAGACUGCAUUUCAGACUGAGACAUAAAACGCUGUUCUGAAUUUUAGGACAAAAUAUCGAAUCAUUCAAUAUCUCAAUAAUUUAAAAACGGAGU